GAUGAUUUCUCAAGUGAGAUAGGAAGAAAGGGAAAGAAUAUAGCAUGAAUCCAAUUCCAUAUGCUUCCAUUAGGUCUACGUAUCUAAUUUUUGGCAACUUCCCUAACGAUUUGAUUUUUUGAAAUGACUAUGAUGUGGGCCAAUAGGAGAGGUAAAGACAUGAAUGAGGUGGUAAACUGGGAGUGUAAAAAACUGCAUUUUGAGGAGAGAGUGAAUCAAUGAGAAGAUAGGUUGGGGUAAUGGAGAAAGAAGAGGCCCUCUAAUAUAAAGUAGGGGAGAGUUUGCAAGAUUUCUUUAUGACCUGUUUGAUUAUCAAGAAAGGAUGAGAUGAAAAAGGUUAGGAUGAGAAAAGGAAAUUUUGUUUUUUUCAAUUUAGGUUCUAAGAUCAAAUAUAAGAGAAAAUAGAUUUUAUAGUGCUUGAUUGGUGAAAAAAUUAAAUUAGAUACAAACUUCUUGUUAUUGGAUUAUUUUUUGACAUUCAUGAAUUGAAUUAAUGUCAAUGCACAAUCAUGCAUCUAUCAUACAAUUUGAUAUGUUCUAGCAAUAAUUUUUAUGCCUCUACCCACACUACAAGAAAAAGCAUUUCUAGCGGCAGUUUUUGAGGGGGCUAAUUGAGAGUAGGAUUUCCUCCCUUGCACCUCUUCUCUCCACAUUUCAUUCUCUUCCCACCCUUUAUGUAUAUCCCACUCUCUCUGUCAUCUCUCUCUCGAUCAAUCAAAUUUCAGACUACCAUUGUCUCCUCGGCUGAGCUUAACACCAUUGCACAGCGGACGAAAUCCGACCAGAGUUGUCUCCUUCUCGGCUGAGCUUAAAACCACCGGACAGCAUCUGACAAUAGGGUUUUUCAAAGCUUAAGCCGAGAGAAUCGGUUCAGCUGAUAAAUAUUUCUAUAUGCUAUUUGAUAUGAUGCCAGAGGUUAGGAUUGUAUACAGUCUACCCCUCCCAAGACCCUGUAUAGCUGGUACCAACAUUGGGUAUGAAGACCAAUUGCCAUGGAUUGGUCUGAUGUAUGUAGUACUCAAUGGUCAUGGAUGUGUGGUUCAUUCUAACAAAAUGCAUGUCUUGCUGCUACUCGGUGGCUCUUUUGUGACCAUGUGUAGUGCUGUAGAGUCUAAUUAUUUGGGUGAAACUUUAAAAUGCUUUGAAAUGGCAAUUAAUAAUCUAUUAUCACUUGGAAAUGUUCUUAUCUUUUAAACUACUCUAUCAAGUUGUUUAUAAGGUUUUAUAUUUAUUAAGUUCAUUGGUACAAAAUAUUUGGACCAAAAUUUGGUCUGUGUCAAUUUCUAUUGAUGGACCCACUCAAUGAGUUACAGCCAGGAUUGUCUCCUAAGGUCAAAGUUGUUGUAUUGAAUUGACAUGGGUAACAUAUGAGAUUAUUCAGUUUUA
Nelumbo nucifera (sacred lotus) is the source of this 1386-nucleotide non-coding RNA. NCBI's taxonomy places the organism in Eukaryota, Viridiplantae, Streptophyta, Magnoliopsida, Proteales, Nelumbonaceae. The record is from RefSeq and is a predicted model, not a curated record.